CACAUAGCUUGCAUCACUGCUCACGUCUCCGUGUAACUCACAAUAAAGAGACUUUGGCAUCAACUGUGAGCUUAGGGGUAGAAGAAGGGUAUAUGUUAGGAGGUGGGAGCGGAAUCAAUUCUUCAAAGCUUAAGGAUGGUGAAGAAGAGUGCUCACCAGAUUCCCUUCUGGUCUGGAAAAAGAAAUUCCUUCUUUUGUGGAUGUCAUCUCUACCAUCUCUCGGUAAAAAAAUUUUCAAGUGACUCCUAAGAUGGAGAGAGCAUUGGAAGUCAACUGGCCCAUUCCCCUCAUGCAACUCAAAGCUUCUUUGUAAGAAAAAUACUCCCAGAAGUUUGUUUGCAUUAUGAAGAUCAGGUCUUGAGAGACCCAGUCUGGCUCUUCCCUGUACAAAACAUUCCUCACAAACAGAAUGUGGACAAUUGCCAAAUGUCAAAGGUAAAGUUAUUGUGGGAACUCCUUCAAAAAGUUCAAGUGAGAGCUCAUUCUAUAAGGGACCAUUUACACCUAAUUUUUUUGUGUGUGCUAUGUUACUUAUUCUGAAGUGGUUGAUCCAAUUACUAAAAGGGAAUAUUGCAUUACCUUUUAUUUCCUAUAGCAUCCAUUCUGACCCCUUUAUCAGUUUGAUUAUCCUCUGAUUCCAUUCUUCAUUCACUCAUUUAUUUGAGAAAUAUUUAUUGACCAACAAGUAUGCCAGAUCCUGUUCUAUGUGUAGGGACUAUAAAGUUGAACAAGACAGAGGAGGUACUGGCCUCAGAAUUUACAUUCUAGUAGAAGAUGAGAAAGUAAAAAUAAACACAUGGAAACAUGAAUGAACUGGAUAUUACAGACUGUGAUAGGUAUAGUUUGGGUAAAGCACAGAGUGCAGUACUAAAGAUAAACUGGGCUCAGAGUGGAGCUAUUUUAGAUGGAAUGGAGAUCUCUGAGGAAAUGAAAUUUGAGCUGAGACCUAAAAGGUCACCCAAGGACUCAUGGGAGAACUCAUUUGUUUGUGUCAAAAUUUAGCUUCAUGAACUCCAGGCCCUUGCAAAUGAUGGUUACCAGGUGAGAAAUGUCUCACUGGCAACAGAAGUUGGCAGACCCAGCUCCAGUUCCAUCCUGGCCAACAUGCCAAUGUCAUUAAAAUAAGGCCAUUCAUCAAGGUGGAGACUAUUACUAGAAACAAGCAUUCUAAAGUGCCAUUCGAGUGCUAGGCCCUCAACACUGGGCAUAACACUGCUCUGUGUGGCUCUUGAGAGCAAGUACUGAGGCAUGACCAAAAAAAUUAAGUCCCAUGUAAGUGAUGCAACUGCUCCCCAAUUACUGUGGAAGUAUCUGCAGACUAUUGUGCGUGUGUGUUUGUUUGCUUUAGUGAAUAAAUUCAGUCAACCAAC
Cercocebus atys (sooty mangabey) is the source of this 1370-nucleotide long non-coding RNA. RefSeq lists it as uncharacterized. The record is from RefSeq and is a predicted model, not a curated record. The transcript has 3 exons. NCBI's taxonomy places the organism in Eukaryota, Metazoa, Chordata, Mammalia, Primates, Cercopithecidae.